CCGACCCAAAAACCUUCUCCGGCCGAUUUCUCCACCAUCCGACGUCGCCUCGUGUCGUGCCACCUAUCAAACUGACGGGCUCGACGAGCUCCAUCUUUUGGGCUACGCCUUGCACUCCGGCGACAACCACACACGGUGUAGCAACCGCCGGAAGUUACUGCUGUGGCGGCGCCGCCUCCUCCGGCCACCAUGGCUCAAGAUUCUUGGGGGGUUUUGCUUGUCUCAGUCCCAGCAACAUUCCCACAAAAGGAAUCGAGCCAAAUCGAAGUGUGACUGACGAAACGAGUGAGGAAAUUACUUUCAGGGUCGUGGAAGUUGCACGCAGGAAAGAAGUGGAUAACUCCGCAGGUGUGGAUUAGCGGGAAUUGACGGACCACUCAGAGAACUUGAAGUUAUUUAUCUCCAGCUUAUGUGAGGAUUUUGUGUGACUAUCUUGUGAGGUUGUUGU
Molecule: long non-coding RNA, 448 nt
Organism: Argentina anserina (silverweed cinquefoil)
Lineage: Eukaryota; Viridiplantae; Streptophyta; Magnoliopsida; Rosales; Rosaceae
Exons: 3
Source: RefSeq, a predicted model, not a curated record